Molecule: long non-coding RNA, 673 nt
Filed under: Prunus persica (peach)
Lineage: Eukaryota; Viridiplantae; Streptophyta; Magnoliopsida; Rosales; Rosaceae
Description: long non-coding RNA (PPER_LNC002869)
Source: RNAcentral
GAUGACAUGAUUACUUUAUAAUGAGGCGGAGCUUACAAAAUAUGCUGAGAGAGAAACUUUGCCUUAUUUUUAAUGUUCCUCUUCCGUUUGUUUAUUCGUCGAUGAAAGGCAUGUAACGAAUUUCCUUUGCUUGGUUGGCAACUUGGCACCGGCAGCUUUGGUUCCAACAAACUCCAUUCCUUAGCUCCCUAUCUUGGUUCGGAUUUUCCGUAAAAUUAAUUUUACCAUUGGCCAAACUUAGAGCACAAGAGGGUUAGACUCGUUGGUUAGGGCAAUAAGCAAAACCCUUACAUUCAAGUUGAAUUGUUUUUUCAAUGUACCCAUGUUUUCUUUUAAAGAAAUUAGGUUUGUGUAUUGAAAUAUUGCAUUUUGGGGUUCCAUUUAUUGCAUUUUCUUAAUUAGAAAAAAAGAAACCAAAAAAAAAAAAAAAAAGGAACUAAAGACUACUACUCUUAUAGCAUUUCUGGCGUGCAGCCCUAGCCCGGGCAAAAGGGGGCCUAGGUCCGUGGAGGCGCUUCUAGCGCACAAAUGCAGCCCGAACAAGACGUGGGCUCCACCAACCCGAACAAGGUCCAAGGCAAAAUUAGCAUGUUCUUCUACUUGAGGGAUGUGACAUCAGCACUGAUGCCAGGUUGGCGUCAUCGCGCGAAUUUGAAUUCUUUUUACCGUUAGC